UCCCGCUCAGGAUGAACGCUGGCGGCGUGCUUAACACAUGCAAGUCGAACGAUGAUCCCAGCUUGCUGGGGGAUUAGUGGCGAACGGGUGAGUAACACGUGAGUAACCUGCCCUUAACUCUGGGAUAAGCCUGGGAAACUGGGUCUAAUACCGGAUAUGACUCCUCAUCGCAUGGUGGGGGGUGGAAAGCUUUAUUGUGGUUUUGGAUGGACUCGCGGCCUAUCAGCUUGUUGGUGAGGUAAUGGCUCACCAAGGCGACGACGGGUAGCCGGCCUGAGAGGGUGACCGGCCACACUGGGACUGAGACACGGCCCAGACUCCUACGGGAGGCAGCAGUGGGGAAUAUUGCACAAUGGGCGAAAGCCUGAUGCAGCGACGCCGCGUGAGGGAUGACGGCCUUCGGGUUGUAAACCUCUUUCAGUAGGGAAGAAGCGAAAGUGACGGUACCUGCAGAAGAAGCGCCGGC
RNAcentral lists this ribosomal RNA (466 nucleotides) under Micrococcineae bacterium CL1.53. Its description in RNAcentral is "bacterial SSU rRNA". It matches the Rfam family "Bacterial small subunit ribosomal RNA", at positions 18 to 497 of the family's 1533-position model. Lineage: Bacteria; Bacillati; Actinomycetota; Actinomycetes; Micrococcales. The record is from RNAcentral.